GCAUAUCAAUAAGCGGAGGAAAAGAAAAUAACAAUGAUUCCCUUAGUAACGGCGAGUGAAGGGGGAUAAGCUCAAAUUUUAAAUCUGGCUAGGUUUUACCUAUCAGAGUUGUAUUUUGAAGAAGCGUUUUCCGCGUCUCGGUUGGCCCAAGUCCUUUGGGAUAAGGUAUCAUGGAGGGUGAGAAUCCCGUUCGGUUGACCUUAUGACGCUUUACGAUACGCUUUCAAAGAGUCGAGUUGUUUGGGAUUGCAGCUCAAAAUGGGAGGUAAAUUUCUCCUAAGGCUAAAUAUCGGCGAGAGACCGAUAGCGAACAAGUACCGUGAGGGAAAGAUGAAAAGAACUUUGAAAAGAGAGUAAAAUAGUACGUGAAAUUGUUGAAAGGGAAACGAUUGAAGUCAGUCGUACCGACGAGAAAUCAGCUCUUCGAGUGCGAUCUUGUGGGCGUGCGUGAGUCUUUAACGGGCCUCGCUGUUUGCAAUGUUUGUGCUUCUUGGGUGUACUUUUUCGUAUGGUAGGCCAACGUCAGUUUCGACUACCGUAAAAUGAUCGGAGGAAUGUAGCUUCGAUCUCGUAUUGAAGUGUUAUAGCCUCUGGUAGAUGCGGUGAUCGAAACUGAGGAUUGCAACGAAUACCCUUUGGGCUAUCCGUCUGACCUCUGAAAGUUACUUAGGUGCUGAAAGCGUGCUUACGGUAUUUAAGUUGACGGUCAACAGGUUAGAACGUGAUUACAUUCGUUAAGGACGCUGACGUAAUGGCUUUAAACGAC
RNAcentral lists this ribosomal RNA (766 nucleotides) under uncultured Glomeraceae. RNAcentral's name for it is "eukaryotic LSU rRNA". It matches the Rfam family "Eukaryotic large subunit ribosomal RNA", at positions 38 to 648 of the family's 3401-position model. Lineage: Eukaryota; Fungi; Glomeromycota; Glomeromycetes; Glomerales; Glomeraceae. The record is from RNAcentral.